GUGCCAGCAGCCGCGGUAAUACGGAGGGUGCAAGCGUUAUCCGGAUUCACUGGGUUUAAAGGGUGCGUAGGAGGGCAGGGAAGUCAGUUGUGAAAUCUCCGGGCUCAACUCGGAAACUGCCGUUGAUACUAUCUGUCUUAAAUACCGUGGAGGUGAGCGGAAUAUGUCAUGUAGCGGUGAAAUGCUUAGAUAUGACAUAGAACACCAAUUGCGAAGGCAGCUCACUACACGAGCAUUGACUCUGAGGCACGAAAGCGUGGGGAGCAAACAGGAUUGGAUACCCUGGUAGUCC
This 292-nucleotide ribosomal RNA is filed under the name uncultured bacterium. RNAcentral's name for it is "partial 16S ribosomal RNA". It matches the Rfam family "Bacterial small subunit ribosomal RNA", at positions 505 to 796 of the family's 1533-position model. The record is from RNAcentral.